UUAUUUGCUGUUGUUUGUCCUCUGGGCUAAUAGGGCAUGCGUUCAUAUUUGAUGACAUCGCAAAUCACAUCAAUCACCUUCCUGAUUGUUCAAACAACGAAAUUCGAGACCAUUGUCAUGGUAGAGCGCAACAUUGCAAAAGAGAACACGAAGUUUUGGGAGUGCAUUUAUACUAUUGUGAUUGCCAACCUGGCUUUCAUGGAGCUACUUGUGAACAAGAUUCUUGCUAUGACCAGCACUGUACCAAUGGACAAGGUCUUUGCCAUUUGUUGGACACAGAUCCAUACUUUGAGUGUAAAUGCAAACCUGGAUACUCUGGGACAUAUUGUGAAGCUUCAUCCAUAACCACAACGUCAGCACCUACAGUUACGACAACCCUUCCAACAACAACAACAACAACAACAACAACGAAAACCAACCCUGUAUACCAGUAUUGCAACAAAUAC
Molecule: long non-coding RNA, 446 nt
Organism: Mya arenaria
Lineage: Eukaryota; Metazoa; Mollusca; Bivalvia; Myida; Myidae
Exons: 5
Source: RefSeq, a predicted model, not a curated record